GACGAACGCUGGCGGCGUGCUUAACACAUGCAAGUCGAACGGAAAGGCCCUGCUUUUGUGGGGUGCUCGAGUGGCGAACGGGUGAGUAACACUUGAGUAACCUGCCCUUGACUUUGGGAUAACUUCAGGAAACUGGGGCUAAUACCGGAUAGGAGCUCCUGCUGCAUGGUGGGGGUUGGAAAGUUUCGGCGGUUGGGGAUGGACUCGCGGCUUAUCAGCUUGUUGGUGGGGUAGUGGCUUACCAAGGCUUUGACGGGUAGCCGGCCUGAGAGGGUGACCGGCCACAUCGGGACUGAGAUACGGCCCAGACUCCUACGGGAGGCAGCAGUGGGGAAUAGUGCACAAUGGGCGGAAGCCUGAUGCAGCAACGCCGCGUGCGGGAUGACGGCCUUCGGGUUGUAAACCGAUUUCGCCUGUGACGAAGCGUGAGUGACGGUAAUGGGUAAAGAAGCACCGGCUAACUACGUG
RNAcentral lists this ribosomal RNA (468 nucleotides) under uncultured bacterium. RNAcentral's name for it is "partial 16S ribosomal RNA". It matches the Rfam family "Bacterial small subunit ribosomal RNA", at positions 28 to 507 of the family's 1533-position model. The record is from RNAcentral.